RNAcentral lists this long non-coding RNA (1025 nucleotides) under Equus asinus (donkey). RNAcentral's name for it is "lncRNA (ENSEASG00005037668.1)". Lineage: Eukaryota; Metazoa; Chordata; Mammalia; Perissodactyla; Equidae. The record is from RNAcentral.
CUUGAAAUAAUGUUUAAUUGGGCAUGUCUCUGAUUCUGUCACUGUUUUUCUUCCUUUCCCCCAACUCUAUGUUUCAGAUUUUUUCAAACAUACAAAACAAUUUAAAGAAUCAUUCAGUGAAUAUUCAUAUAACCGCCAUCUAACUUCCUGGCAUACACUUUAUUAUAUAUGUGUGUCUACAUAUAUUUAUAUAUUAUUUAUGUAUCUCUCCAUCUAUCCAUCCAUCAAUCCACAUUAUUUUUUCCUCACUGCCUUUCAAAUACAAUCAAUGGUUGAGAGAUCGUCAACUUUGGAAUCAGAUCUGGGAUUAAUUCCUAGAUUCAGCCCUUAUUUGUCGUAUGGCCUUGGGGGUGUUGCUUAGCCUGCAUCUAUUUCCCCUCUGUAAAUGGGGGAUGGACAAUGAAGCCGACUUCACAGGUGGUGGUGAGGAUUAAAUGACAUAAUGUAGAUGAAGGGCCUGGCAUGUAGUGUGUGUUCACUACAUGGUAGCAAGAGAAAAAGUACAGCAUAAGUAUUUAUUUCAGCCAUCAGCACUGAUUUGCAAUGAUUUGUACUUCUGGUGUUCCUGCUUCCAGCCUCUGCUUUAGGCCCAGAAGGAAAAGAAAUUCAUAGGAGACAAUGAGUCUCAGACUCUUUCUUGGUUAUGAGCAAGAGUUCCCUGGAUCUAAGAGGAUCUUAUAUGUCAGUGAGCAUGAAAGUCCCUGAGGACCUGAUAGUGCUGGGCAGCCAAUUUCCAGGAGAAGCAAAACUCUGGAUUAUAACCCAUCUUGCAUGUUUAUGCAUCUUUUAGGAGAUAUUUCUUAAUAAUAACUAUGCCAGUCCUUCAUAACGUUUGGAAUAAAAUGGUCAAAGAGUACACUAAGAAAACAGUCAAGAAGGCGUCCAAAGUGGGGAAGAGGGAAGUCAUCUUGACUGGUCACUUGCUACAUGCUCCUCCCUAUGCUGGAGUCUUCCAAGGUAUUGCUUUUGCAACAAGCCUGCCAGUAAAACUUUUAAUUUCCUAUUUCCUGAGUAGGAAACUGAAG